AUUGAACGCUGGCGGCAUGCCUUACACAUGCAAGUCGAACGGUAACAGGUCUUCGGAUGCUGACGAGUGGCGAACGGGUGAGUAAUACAUCGGAACGUGCCCGAUCGUGGGGGAUAACGAGGCGAAAGCUUUGCUAAUACCGCAUACGAUCUACGGAUGAAAGCGGGGGAUCUUCGGACCUCGCGCGGACGGAGCGGCCGAUGGCAGAUUAGGUAGUUGGUGGGAUAAAAGCUUACCAAGCCGACGAUCUGUAGCUGGUCUGAGAGGAUGAUCAGCCACACUGGAACUGAGACACGGCCCAGACUCCUACGGGAGGCAGCAGUGGGGAAUUUUGGACAAUGGGCGAAAGCCUGAUCCAGCCAUGCCGCGUGCAGGAUGAAGGCCUUUGGGUUGUAAACUGCUUUUGUACGGAACGAAAAGCCUCUUGCUAAUAAAGAGGGGUCAUGACGGUACCGUAAGAAUAAGCACCGGCUAACUACGUG
Molecule: ribosomal RNA, 482 nt
Filed under: uncultured bacterium
Lineage: Bacteria
Description: partial 16S ribosomal RNA
Rfam family: Bacterial small subunit ribosomal RNA
Source: RNAcentral